CGGAUCAUUUUCUUAGAGGAUUCUCUCAUUUACACUGAGGGGUUUACCGUGCGAUUCGGUAUGGUCUGA
This 69-nucleotide transfer RNA is filed under the name Hodotermes mossambicus. RNAcentral's name for it is "tRNA-Val". Lineage: Eukaryota; Metazoa; Arthropoda; Insecta; Blattodea; Hodotermitidae. The record is from RNAcentral.